RNAcentral lists this ribosomal RNA (423 nucleotides) under uncultured bacterium. RNAcentral's name for it is "bacterial SSU rRNA". It matches the Rfam family "Bacterial small subunit ribosomal RNA", at positions 355 to 775 of the family's 1533-position model. The record is from RNAcentral.
CAAGGAAUAUUGGUCAAUGGGCGCAAGCCUGAACCAGCCAUGCCGCGUGCAGGAAGACGGCCCUAUGGGUUGUAAACUGCUUUUAUCAGGGAAUAAACCCCCGCUCGUGAGCGGGGAUGAAGGUACCUGAAGAAUAAGCAUCGGCUAACUCCGUGCCAGCAGCCGCGGUAAUACGGAGGAUGCAAGCGUUAUCCGGCUUCAUUGGGUUUAAAGGGUGCGCAGGCGGAUUGGUAAGUCAGGGGUGAAAUCCCACAGCUCAACUGUGGAACUGCCUUUGAUACUGUCAGUCUAGAGUAUAGUUGAAGUGGGCGGAAUGUGUCAUGUAGCAGUGAAAUGCUUAGAUAUGACACAGAACACCGAUCGCGAAGGCAGCUCGCUAAGCUAUAACUGACGCUCAUGCACGAAAGCGUGGGGAUCAAACAG